RNAcentral lists this transfer RNA (67 nucleotides) under Acnemia nitidicollis. RNAcentral's name for it is "tRNA-Ser". Lineage: Eukaryota; Metazoa; Arthropoda; Insecta; Diptera; Mycetophilidae. The record is from RNAcentral.
AGUUUAUGAACUUGAAUAAGUUUAUGUUUUGAAAACAUAAUAUAGAAAUUUAACUUUCUAUAAACUU